This 1161-nucleotide ribosomal RNA is filed under the name Triticum aestivum (bread wheat). RNAcentral's name for it is "partial small subunit ribosomal RNA". Lineage: Eukaryota; Viridiplantae; Streptophyta; Magnoliopsida; Poales; Poaceae. The record is from RNAcentral.
CGUCCCCCUAUCCCUCCCCGAUUUCGGUUUGAGACAUUUUGGUUGUCCCAAACUGGCUUCGUCGAGGCUGUUGGCGCUCGUUGGGCGGAGGCCCGCGCCCAACCUCAGUCCCAAUCUCGCCCCCCCUUCGCCAUCAACUCGUGGCAUUUCUGUGCCAAGCGAGGCCGACAGUUCAUGAAGGGGUGGGGCGCCAACCUGGGGCGCGACCUCCGCGAGCGCAAGAAGGCCCUGAUGUCUGCUAUCCAGGCCCAGGACCUGCGCGCCAACGCGACCGGCCUCUCUCCUGAGGAGUGGCUUUCCCAUUAUGACUUGGAAGACCAACUUUCUAUCAUCUACUCCGAUGAGGAGGCCUACUGGUGUUUGCGUGGUGCCCAGAAAUGGGUACUGAAGGGCGAUGCGAACACGACUUACUUCCAGGCCAUAGCGAAUGGCCGUCGUAGACGCAACACCAUCCCCCUCCUCUGGGAUGGCCCGACUCUCCUGCAGUCCCCGCGUGACAUUAGAUCCCACGUUGACGGGUUCUAUAGAUCCCUGUUCGCAGCCUAUCCUCGGAGGGGCUUAUCACUGGCCCUGGAUUGUUGGUCCGGCCGCCAGCUUGUCACCGAUGCGGAGAACGCGGCCCUUACGGCCCCCUUCUCCGAGGGCGAGGUCUGGGCCGCCAUCAAAGGCAUGAACCCUACCUCGACCCCGGGCCUGGAUGGUCUCCCGGUUAAAUUCUUCCAAGCCUUCUGGAAUGUGAUCAAACCGGAGGUCAUGGCCAUCUUUGACGAGUUCUACGUUGGGUCCAUUGACCUCGGGCGCCUCAACUAUGGGACUAUUUCGCUUAUCCCCAAGGUUCCUGGGGCGUCUGACAUCCGUCAGUUUCGCCCGAUCACGGUGAUAAAUGUGAUCUUCCGGAUUCUGGCAAAAGGGUGCGCCAAUAGGGUGACCCUGCUCGCGGACCACAUUACCCACCCCAACCAAUCUGCCUUCAUCCAAGGCCGAUAUAUUCUGGAUGGGGUGCAAGUCCUUCACAAAGUCCUCCAUGAGGUCCGCUCCAAACACCUCAAGGCGGUCUUCCUGAAGAUCGAUUUCCAUAAGGCCUAUGCCACUGUUAGUUGGCCCUCCUUCGGGAAGUUCUACUCCGGAAAGGCUUCGAUGACCGUUGGAUCACCAGGGUAA